UGAUACUAAGCCAUGCGAGUCAUUGUAGCAAUACAAGGCAUACGGCUCAGUAACGCGUAGUCAACCUAACCUAUGGACGGGAAUAACCUCGGGAAACUGAGAAUAAUGCCCGAUAGAACAUUAUGCCUGGAAUGGUUUAUGUUCCAAAUGAUUUAUCGCCGUAGGAUGGGACUGCGGCCUAUCAGUUUGUUGGUGAGGUAAUGGCCCACCAAGACUAUUACAGGUACGGGCUCUGAGAGGAGUAGCCCGGAGAUGGGUACUGAGACACGGACCCAGGCCCUAUGGGGCGCAGCAGGCGAGAAAACUUUGCAAUGUGCGAAAGCACGACAAGGUUAAUCCGAGUGGUUUCUGCUAAAGGAACCUUUUGUCAGUCCUAGAAACACUGAUGAAUAAGGGGUGGGCAAGUUCUGGUGUCAGCCGCCGCGGUAAAACCAGCACCUCAAGUGGUCAGGAUGAUUAUCGGGCCUAAAGCAUCCGUAGCCGGCUCUGUAAGUUUUCGGUUAAAUCUGUACGCUCAACGUACAGGCUGCCGGGAAUACUGCAAAGCUAGGGAGUGGGAGAGGUAGACGGUACUCGGUAGGAAGGGGUAAAAUCCUUUGAUCUAUUGAUGACCACCUGUGGCGAAGGCGGUCUACCAGAACACGUCCGACGGUGAGGGAUGAAAGCUGGGGGAGCAAACCGGAUUAGAUACCCGGGUAGUCCCAGCUGUAAACCAUGCAAACUCAGUGAUGCAUUGGCUUGUGGCCAAUGCAGUGCUGCAGGGAAGCCGUUAAGUUUGCCGCCUGGGAAGUACGUACGCAAGUAUGAAACUUAAAGGAAUUGGCGGGGGAGCACCACAAGGGGUGAAGCCUGCGGUUCAAUUGG
Molecule: ribosomal RNA, 864 nt
Filed under: uncultured archaeon
Lineage: Archaea
Description: bacterial SSU rRNA
Rfam family: Archaeal small subunit ribosomal RNA
Source: RNAcentral